AUCCAAGGAUGGAAAUCGACCCGCAGUGUUACGUUUAUCGGGCAGAUGCCAUGUCCACUAGGCUACCCUGGA
RNAcentral lists this transfer RNA (72 nucleotides) under Cordylochernes scorpioides. RNAcentral's name for it is "tRNA-Ile". Lineage: Eukaryota; Metazoa; Arthropoda; Arachnida; Pseudoscorpiones; Chernetidae. The record is from RNAcentral.